Molecule: long non-coding RNA, 592 nt
Filed under: Astyanax mexicanus (Mexican tetra)
Lineage: Eukaryota; Metazoa; Chordata; Actinopteri; Characiformes; Acestrorhamphidae
Description: lncRNA (ENSAMXG00005002720.1)
Source: RNAcentral
AUUGCCAAGGUUGGGAAAAAGCACCAAUGCUUUCAAUCUCCAAUGAAUAUAUCAUUCAAGAUUAUUUUUUCUCACUCUUGUUCAUUUGUCUGGACUAUUUGUGGAGCUGUGGACUCUUCAUUAACUGGGCAAACAAGAACCCCCGGACCCUCUCCCUCCCUGCAGGUGGAUCCGUCCUACCAGAAGAAGAAGCCUCGGUCCCCUUGCCUCCCUUUUGCCCCUCAGACCAUCCACACAGCAGGAUUAAGAGACUGAGAUCAUCACUGGAGGUCCACAGGUUUUAAAUGCAGGAUUCUCCUGCCACCUGCUGGUAAGCACUUCCAAGCUCUUCUUAAGAUUCUUUCACAAGAUUCAUUCAAAGACUGUGGACUCUUAUCGAAGCUUAUGUACCGGAUUUUAUUGUUAAAACAGAUAAAAGUAGGAAUAUACAAAAUGUUCACAGCCCUAAAUAUUUCAUUUACCUGUAUUGUAUUGUAUAUUAUUUAUAGGCAGUCUGUUAGUCAGCUAAAAGACUACUAAUUUAGAGUGAGUGGGCGGGGCUCAAACUCUGUAGUCUGAAUAAACAUAUGAAACAUCCUGUGAUUUUGGAUCA